CAGAAGGCUGGAUGCAGGCUGGCCUGAGAACUAGCACACUGCAUGACUAGCUGGUCCUAAAUGGUCUGCUGGAUGUAGCCUGGGAUGAGUGUGAACUCACUGCAUGGUUAUCUGCAGCUCAAUGUUCCACUGGAUGAAGGAAGAGGCCAGGUUGUUCUCACUAUGUGACUAACAGAUGGUUGGAAUCAGGCUGUGGUGAGGUUGAACACACUGCAGGACCAAUUAGACCUAAGCAGUCUGCUGGAUGUAGCCUGGCAUGACUGUGAGCUCACUGCAUGGUGAUCCACUGCUCACAGUUCUGCUGGAUGAAGGAUGAGCCAAGAUCAUUCUCACUAUGUGACUAACAGAUGGCUGGCAUAUGGCUGGGGUGAGGUCUACCACACUGCAGGACCAAUUGAACCUAAACAGUCUGCUGGAUGCAGCCUGGUAUGAUUGUUAGCUCAUUGCAUGAGGAUCUGCUGCUCAUAGUUCUGCUGGAUGAAGGACGAGCCGAGA
RNAcentral lists this long non-coding RNA (495 nucleotides) under Fukomys damarensis (Damara mole-rat). Its description in RNAcentral is "lncRNA (ENSFDAG00000022341.1)". Lineage: Eukaryota; Metazoa; Chordata; Mammalia; Rodentia; Bathyergidae. The record is from RNAcentral.